ACUCCUACGGGAGGCAGCAGUGGGGAAUAUUGGACAAUGGGCGCAAGCCUGAUCCAGCCAUGCCGCGUGAGUGAUGAAGGCCCUAGGGUUGUAAAGCUCUUUCAGUAGGGAAGAUAAUGACGGUACCUACAGAAGAAGCCCCGGCUAACUUCGUGCCAGCAGCCGCGGUAAUACGAAGGGGCUAGCGUUGUUCGGAAUUACUGGGCGUAAAGCGCACGUAGGCGGAUUGGUCAGUUAGGGGUGAAAUCCCGGAGCUCAACUCCGGAACUGCCUUUAAUACUGCCAGUCUAGAGUCCGAGAGAGGUGAGUGGAAUUCCUAGUGUAGAGGUGGAAUUCGUAGAUAUUAGGAAGAACACCAGUGGCGAAGGCGGCUCACUGGCUCGGUACUGACGCUGAGGUGCGAAAGCGUGGGGAGCGAACAGGAUUAGAUACCCUGGUAGCGAG
Molecule: ribosomal RNA, 444 nt
Filed under: uncultured bacterium
Lineage: Bacteria
Description: bacterial SSU rRNA
Rfam family: Bacterial small subunit ribosomal RNA
Source: RNAcentral